Molecule: ribosomal RNA, 439 nt
Filed under: uncultured bacterium
Lineage: Bacteria
Description: bacterial SSU rRNA
Rfam family: Bacterial small subunit ribosomal RNA
Source: RNAcentral
UACGGAAGGCAGCAGUGGGGAAUAUUGCACAAUGGGCGCAAGCCUGAUGCAGCCACGCCGCGUGUAUGAAGAAGGCCUUCGGGUUGUAAAGUACUUUCAGUCGUGAGGAAGGUGUUAAGGUUAAUAACCUUAGCAAUUGACGUUAGCGACAGAAGAAGCACCGGCUAACUCCGUGCCAGCAGCCGCGGUAAUACGGAGGGUGCGAGCGUUAAUCGGAAUUACUGGGCGUAAAGGGCACGCAGGCGGUUAAUUAAGUUGGAUGUGAAAUCCCCGGGCUUAACCUGGGAAUGGCAUUCAAGACUGGUUAGCUAGAGUCUUGUAGAGGGGGUAGAAUUCCAUGUGUAGCGGUGAAAUGCGUAGAGAUGUGGAGGAAUACCGGUGGCGAAGGCGGCCCCUGGACAAAGACUGACGCUCAUGUGCGAAAGCGUGGGGAGCAAAC